RNAcentral lists this ribosomal RNA (387 nucleotides) under uncultured Rothia sp. Its description in RNAcentral is "bacterial SSU rRNA". It matches the Rfam family "Bacterial small subunit ribosomal RNA", at positions 958 to 1346 of the family's 1533-position model. The record is from RNAcentral. Lineage: Bacteria; Bacillati; Actinomycetota; Actinomycetes; Micrococcales; Micrococcaceae.
AACGCGAAGAACCUUACCAAGGCUUGACAUGCAUUAGAUCGCGUCAGAGAUGGCGUCUCCCUUCGGGGCUGGUGUACAGGUGGUGCAUGGUUGUCGUCAGCUCGUGUCGUGAGAUGUUGGGUUAAGUCCCGCAACGAGCGCAACCCUCGUUCUAUGUUGCCAGCGGUUCGGCCGGGGACUCAUAGGAGACUGCCGGGGUCAACUCGGAGGAAGGUGGGGAUGACGUCAAAUCAUCAUGCCCCUUAUGUCUUGGGCUUCACGCAUGCUACAAUGGCCGGUACAGAGGGUUGCGAUACUGUGAGGUGGAGCUAAUCCCUUAAAGCCGGUCUCAGUUCGGAUUGGGGUCUGCAACUCGACCCCAUGAAGUCGGAGUCGCUAGUAAUCGCA